GUCCACUUAAAAUCCAGAAUCAACAAAUUUAGAACCAAGGCAAAGGAGAAAACAGUCACUACAAUAUUUUUUAAGACACUGAGUAGAUUUUUUUUGCAUUGGUCUCUCUAUAUAAAAUUAUUUUCAACAUCUCUGUAUUUAUGAUUGUAGUGGGUCAAGCUGACUUGGUUCUCCUUGAGCUAGACAAUGUGUGUGUCAACAUUUGGGCUACAAUAUCCUGCUAUGUGUUGAUCUUUGAAAGUAAGAGAAUGUGCUGGGAUGGGAUGGGGAGGCAGAACUUGGAGCAAGAAGCAUCAUCAUUCAGGCUUCACAUAGGAAACACCUCAAGAUAUCAGUAUCAGAGCAACCCUUUACAAGUAUUUGUCAAGAUUUAUUUUACUUAUUUAUUGAAAUAAAGCAGAGAAACUGAGAUGGAAGGGGGAGGUAGAGAGAAAGACACCUGGCAGCACUGCUUAAGCGCUUGUGAAGCUUUCUCUUUGCAGGUGACUCGACAUAUUACCAUCUUAAGCUAGGUAUCAUUUCUUUCUUUUUCUUUUUAAUUUCUUUAUGGAGGAAUUAAUGUUUUACAUUCCACAUUAAAUACAAUAGUUUGUACAUGCAUAACAAUUCCCAGUUUUCCAUAUAACAAUCUAGGUAUCAUUUCUAAAGCCUGUUAAAUCUAAAAUGUCUUAACUUUUUGUAAUAAUUUCCUGAUUCACGUUUCCCUGUCUUAAACAUCUUGGUUCUGUUUAAAUUUGCCUUGUGGGAACUCCCAUCUGUCUCUGAUCUUGGUAAUUUUACAGGGCUUUUAGUUGAAUGCCAGCAGUAACGCUCCCAGUUAAAAAAUAAAGAAAUCGCUCUGUGUGUGCUUCGAGCUAGGCUUUACCAGAAGAUUAUCGAGAAAGACAGGUGUCAACAGCAAAAUGCCAGAAGACUGCAGGUUGGAACAAGAGCCCAGUCAGAAAGAAUUCGGACCUACAAUUUUACCCAGAAUAGAGUCACUGACCACAGGGUGUCCUUGCUGGUGGGAGAGGCCCCUGGAUGGGCUUCCAUGGGGUCACCCCUGAGAGCCCUGAUAGAUGAACAGAUCUUCUCCAUCAUGUAUCACCAAGAAGCUAC
Molecule: long non-coding RNA, 1098 nt
Organism: Erinaceus europaeus (western European hedgehog)
Lineage: Eukaryota; Metazoa; Chordata; Mammalia; Eulipotyphla; Erinaceidae
Exons: 3
Source: RefSeq, a predicted model, not a curated record